This 327-nucleotide unclassified non-coding RNA is filed under the name soil metagenome. RNAcentral's name for it is "partial contains 5.8S ribosomal RNA, internal transcribed spacer 2, and large subunit ribosomal RNA". The stretch from base 1 to 120 matches the Rfam family "5.8S ribosomal RNA", at positions 35 to 154 of the family's 154-position model. The record is from RNAcentral.
GAUGAAGAACGCAGCGAAAUGCGAUAAGUAGUGUGAAUUGCAGACUUUAGUGAAUCAUCGAAUCUUUGAACGCACAUUGCGCCCCUUGGUAUUCCAUUGGGCAUGUCUGUUCGAGCGUCAUUUACACCCUCAAGCCUAGCUUGGUGUUGGGCGUUGUCCGCAAGGACUCGCCUCAAAUUCAUUGGCAGCGGCAUCGUCAGCUUCUCGCGCAGCACAUUGCGCUUCAGAAGGCUUCUGGCGGGCUCGCGUCCACUAAGAUACCACCCAGUUUGACCUCGAAUCAGGUAGGGAUACCCGCUGAACUUAAGCAUAUCAAUAAGCGGAGGA